RNAcentral lists this long non-coding RNA (3001 nucleotides) under Homo sapiens (human). RNAcentral's name for it is "HSALNT0288582". Lineage: Eukaryota; Metazoa; Chordata; Mammalia; Primates; Hominidae. The record is from RNAcentral.
GUAAUAUUGGCAUGUAGGGAAAGGAUGGUGGAAAAGGAUAAUAAUUUGUCUUUUUUUUUUGAGACGAAGUUUCACUGUGUUGCCCAAGGUGGAGUGCAGUGACGCUCUCUUGGCUCACUGCAACCUCUGCCUCCUGGGUUCCAGUGAUUCUCCUGCCUCACUCUCCGAAGUAGCUGGUGCCCACCACCAUGCCCAGCUAAGUUUUGUAUUUUUAGUAGAGACAGGGUUUAACCAUUUUGGCCAGGCAGGUCUCAAACUCCUGACCUCAGGCUAUCCACCCAUGCUGGCCUCUCAAAGUGCUGAGAUUACAGGUGUGAGCCACUGCGCCUGGCCAAUACUUUGUCUUAAAUGAACUUUAGAAAAAAAGACCUAUGCUUUUUUCUCUCCCUGAAGAUACAGAGAUGUUAAAACUGGGGUAGAAAGGUGCAAGAUUUUGAGCCCAGCAUCUGUUAGGAUUGGGUACUGGCUUUUGUCUCCUAUCCCUGACCUAGGAACUUCUCUGCCCAAGGAUAGGAUCCAUUGGCCUGCUGUCACUGGUGUUGGGGCUUAGGACAUAUUAUGCCAAAAUAUGACAUCAUGGAGGUCACUCACUGACGUUUUCUUUUUUUGUUGUUUUCCUUUCUUUUUUUCUUUUUCUUUUUUGAGAUGAAGUUUUGCUCUUGUUGCCCAGGCUGGAGUACAAUGGCACAAUCUUGACUCAGUGUAACCUCCACCACCUGGAUUCAGGUGAUUCUCCUUCCUCAGCCUCCUGAGUACCUGAGAUUAGAGGCAGGCAGGUGCCACCAUGCCCAGCUAAUUUUGUGUUUUUAGUAGAGAUGGCAUUUCACCAUAGUGGUCAGGCUGGUCUUGAACCCCUGACCUCAGGUGACCCACCCGCCUCAGCCUCCAAAAGUGCUGGGAGUACAGGCAUGACGCAUCACUGACUCAUUCUAACCUUUCUGUGUGAAAGCUGUCCAUAAAAUUAUUGUCUGACAUACCUCCCUUGAAAGUAGUUCAUAAGACUCUCGUGUGGCAUAUGUCCUGCACCAUACACAAAGGGAAAGGAUACAAUAGAGAGAGGCUAAAAAGAAUCUGAACUCCCAGGCCUUAAAGUUUACCCAAUUUAUUAUCAUAUCAUAAAUUAUUUUGUCCUAUAAUACUUCUACAUUACCUGUCCAUUCUAUCUUUUUUCUUUCUCUUUCUUUUUUUUUUGAUACAAGGUCUCACUCUGUCAUGCAUGAUGGACUGCAGUGGUGCAAUCAUGGCUCACUGUAGCUUCGACCACCCUGGCUCCGGUCAUCAUCCUACCUCAGCCUCCCAGUGGUGUCAGUCAUCAACCUUGUGAUCACUGAGGAAAAGAUACAAUAAUCCUUGCCUAUCCGAACUGGGAUCCUAAAAAUUAUGGAACGAAUUGUAGAAACUCAAGCAACUUUCUCCAAAGCCUAGGGUUCAGCAAGAGUAAGCAAGAGGCACUGAGCCGCUGGAGUCUGCACAUUGAUAAAUUUACUUACAGUCGUAAAUAAAUUGCAUCAUCUUCAGCUAGUAACACAGAGUCUAAUUUUUAUAGCGGCAUACUUGCCUCCACGACUUUCCUAGACACCAGAAAGAAAGGCGAGAGCCAGCCUUAGCCUAAUCAAGAACCAUGAUCCAAAAAGGAGUGGGAGGAACCUAGCGGCCACGUGGGAAUCCCAGCCCUCCUAUUAAGCCUACCCUCUUUGCAAAUUGUGACUGUGAGCUCCUGGUUUACAGAAAUAUAUCCCAGAACUCAAGCAACAUGAGCCACUAUAAUUGUCUCUGGAAGGUGACCCAUUUGCAGAUAGGGACUUCCCUGAAGGUUGGGGCCCUCAUGAGCUAUGCUUUCCACCAAGUUGUCUCUAUAAGGACCAGUUCCAGGACCUCAGGGAGGAAAUUUCACUUUCUGCCUUGGUGGAAUGUGAAGUGAGUGGCUCCCCGGCCACACCCCACCCUCCAUAAAAUAGAAGGUAAAUCCCAACUGCCAAAAGCUUUUUGUCCUCCUCUCAGGGAUACUAAUUAAAGCAGUUGGGCUACUUUUUCAUGCAUUUCAUCUCAAGUUGUCUUUCUGCCUAUCUCCUGAGCCCAGCGAAAGAGUUCCUUAAAAUAACCCUCAAACCUCUGUAGUAAAGGACCACACAAAUAACGAAUGCCAUGAAAAAACAGGGCUAGAGGUUUCAGAGGAUGAGAAAGGAAGAGCAGCCAGAACACUGGCUGUCUAGGUAUGCUACUGGUGCCUGACUCUGCACCUGUGUGUGUCUGUGUGCUGUGUUCCAAUGGCAGAGCAUCGGGGCCACCAGAACUCUCUCAGCUACCGCACAUGGAGAGGGAGGAGUGAUAAAGAGAAAUCAAGAAACUCAGUUUCUUUGAAAUGGAAAUCAAUAAACUCAGUUUCCUCAAAGUUCAAAAUACAUGAGACUGCCUACCCUCCUUGGAAGGCAAGGUGGGGCUUUCUGAAGCAAAUACCAGCUUUAAAAAAAAAUGUAUAUAUAUAUGAAGAUAUAUACAAAAAAAAAAUUUCCCCACAACCAGACAAUCAGAAUCAUCAAACCCAGAAGGGUUAAAGAAAAAGAAAAGGCCCAGGAAAGUAUGAUUGGUGGGGAUCAAAAGUAUCUCUCCACAGUGGUAAAUGAGAAUUCUCAAAAAGAGUAAAAUUAUAAUUCUCAUGCACAUAUAAAAUAAAUAUGUAUUACAGAUUUUACUUAAACCAUAUAGCUCAAAAUUAGCUAACAAGGAAGACAUUAUAACCUGUUCAAAGAGAAGCCAAAGAAGGGAAAUUUAUAUGCUGUAAAGAAAUAUUUAAAGGAAUAUGGCAAAACUGACUCUUAAUAGGAGAUGCCCUAUGUGGUACAUAAUUUGUUUGUGUAUCUACACACAUGAAUUAUUUUGCACUUGUAUCACUAUCUACAACUUACACUGUUGUAAAGUAACUCCCACACAAUCAGAAUCAUAUAACCCAAAAAGGUAUCUUCCCUAACCAAACAAGGUUUUCCAAUAAAGCACUAUUUUG